This 253-nucleotide ribosomal RNA is filed under the name uncultured bacterium. RNAcentral's name for it is "partial 16S ribosomal RNA". It matches the Rfam family "Bacterial small subunit ribosomal RNA", at positions 524 to 776 of the family's 1533-position model. The record is from RNAcentral.
UACAGAGGUCUCAAGCGUUGUUCGGAUUCAUUGGGCGUAAAGGGUGCGUAGGCGGCGCGGUAAGUCGGGUGUGAAAUCUUGGAGCUUAACUCCGAAACUGCAUUCGAUACUGCCGUGCUUGAGGACUGGAGAGGAGACUGGAAUUUACGGUGUAGCUGGUGAAAUGCGUAGAUAUCGUCAAGAACACCGAUAGCGAAGGCAGCCAACUAGGGGUUAACUGACGCUGAGGCACGAAAGUGCGGGAUCAAACAGG